RNAcentral lists this ribosomal RNA (433 nucleotides) under uncultured bacterium. RNAcentral's name for it is "partial 16S ribosomal RNA". It matches the Rfam family "Bacterial small subunit ribosomal RNA", at positions 29 to 507 of the family's 1533-position model. The record is from RNAcentral.
AACGAACGCUGGCGGCAUGCCUAACACAUGCAAGUCGAACGAGACCUUCGGGUCUAGUGGCGCACGGGUGCGUAACGCGUGGGAACCUGCCCUUAGGUUCGGAAUAACUCUCCGAAAGGGGUGCUAAUACCGGAUAAUGUCUUCGGACCAAAGAUUUAUCGCCUUUGGAUGGGCCCGCGUUGGAUUAGCUGGUUGGUAGGGUAAAAGCCUACCAAGGCGACGAUCCAUAGCUGGUCUGAGAGGAUGAUCAGCCACACUGGGACUGGGACACGGCCCAGACUCCUACGAGAGGCAGCAGUGGGGAAUAUUGGACAGUGGGCGAAAGCCUGAUCCAGCAAUGCCGCGUGAGUGAUGAAGGCCUUAGAGUUGUAAAGCUCUUUUACCCAGGAUGAUAAUGACAGUACCGAGAGAAUAAGCUCCGGCUAACUCCGUG